GACGAACGCUGGCGGCGUGCUUAACACAUGCAAGUCGAACGGAAAGGCCCUGCUUGCAGGGUACUCGAGUGGCGAACGGGUGAGUAACACGUGGGUGAUCUGCCCUGCACUUCGGGAUAAGCCUGGGAAACUGGGUCUAAUACCGGAUAGGAGCAAUUUUAGUGGGGAGGUUGGAAAGGUUUUUUGGGUUAGGAUGAGCUCGCGGCCUAUUAGCUUGGUGGUGGGGUAAUGGCCUACCAAGGCGGCGACGGGUAGCCGGCCUGGGAGGGUGGACGGCCACAUUGAGACUGAGAGACGGCCCAGACUCCUACGGGAGGCAGCAGUGGGGAAUAUUGCACAAUGGGCGCAAGCCUGAUGCAGCGACGCCGCGUGGGGGAUGACGGCCUUCGGGUUGUAAACUCCUUUCGCUAGGGACGAAGCUUUUUGUGACGGUACCUAGAUAAGAAGCACCGGCUAACUACGUG
RNAcentral lists this ribosomal RNA (464 nucleotides) under uncultured bacterium. RNAcentral describes it as "partial 16S ribosomal RNA". It matches the Rfam family "Bacterial small subunit ribosomal RNA", at positions 28 to 507 of the family's 1533-position model. The record is from RNAcentral.